RNAcentral lists this ribosomal RNA (490 nucleotides) under uncultured bacterium. RNAcentral describes it as "partial 16S ribosomal RNA". It matches the Rfam family "Bacterial small subunit ribosomal RNA", at positions 30 to 507 of the family's 1533-position model. The record is from RNAcentral.
AUUGAACGCUGGCGGCAGGCCUAACACAUGCAAGUCGAACGGUAACAGAAAGCAGCUUGCUGCUUUGCUGACGAGUGGCGGACGGGUGAGUAAUGUCUGGGAAACUGCCUGAUGGAGGGGGACAACUACUGGAAACGGUAGCUAAUACCGCAUAACGUCGCAAGACCAAAGAGGGGGACCUUCGGGCCUCUUGCCAUCGGAUGUGCCCAGAUGGGAUUAGCUAGUAGGUGGGGUAACGGCUCACCUAGGCGACGAUCCCUAGCUGGUCUGAGAGGAUGACCAGCCACACUGGAACUGAGACACGGUCCAGACUCCUACGGGAGGCAGCAGUGGGGAAUAUUGCACAAUGGGCGCAAGCCUGAUGCAGCCAUGCCGCGUGUAUGAAGAAGGCCUUCGGGUUGUAAAGUACUUUCAGCGGGGAGGAAGGGAGUAAAGUUAAUACCUUUGCUCAUUGACGUUACCCGCAGAAGAAGCACCGGCUAACUCCGUG